This 295-nucleotide long non-coding RNA is filed under the name Amborella trichopoda. Its description in RNAcentral is "long non-coding RNA (ATRI_LNC000020)". The record is from RNAcentral. Lineage: Eukaryota; Viridiplantae; Streptophyta; Magnoliopsida; Amborellales; Amborellaceae.
CCCUCCCUCCUCUCUCUCUCUCUCUCUAGAAGAGAACCAAUGGGCUCUCUGCCUUUCUCACUCUCUCUCUCUCUCCUCUCUCUGCGUUACUGUGUGGGGAAAAAAAAAAUUGAAGGAAUCAGAGUGAAAGGUUGCGAACCACUCGUUGCUACACGGGUGCGCAAAAAAAUAUCAAGGGGACAAACCCAAAGUUUGAACUCGCAAGGUGCCUCCAGAAUCUAUGGAAGAACAGUAUACUGUGUUGCUGUAGGAUCAUUUUGUGCGUCUACUCUGUCACUGCAAAAGAGGUUUUAAU